Molecule: long non-coding RNA, 863 nt
Organism: Drosophila pseudoobscura
Lineage: Eukaryota; Metazoa; Arthropoda; Insecta; Diptera; Drosophilidae
Exons: 2
Source: RefSeq, a predicted model, not a curated record
UGCUCCUUCGACAGUCCCGGAUGCCGCAGCUGCUCGAAUUCAUAGCGCGAGAGUUUCGUCACCACCAAAGCCCGCUUAAGCUUGAAGUUCGCAGGCGUAAACUUGGCAUAUUCUGGAACCAAUUGAGCGCAAUUGAAACUUGGAUCAUUUUAGGUACAGACAGUCCUUGGAGGAGACUGUGUGUCCACGACUAUAUAGUCGGCAGAGUACAACAAUUUGGAUUUCUAGCAAUGCCAAAACACAUGCCCGAGCUGAUAAUCAUAAUGGAGUAACAAGUGCCUACUCAUCAGCGAGAAGCGAGUGUGUGUGUACGAGUAUAACCGAAUGAUUGAGGGGCGAUUGCCAACCAAAAAAAAAAAAUGUGAAUUGCGACCCAGGAACUACAAUCACCUCUGUCGAACAGUUUGAUUCUGUUAGUUCUAAAAGUCCUUCUUACCUUUGGAAAAUCGCUGCAGGAAUUGCUUCGAUUUCAACAUGGUGGGCACAGGCGAACAGCAAACAUUUAUUUGAAUGUUUAACGUUUAUUUUUCGUUUUCUUUUUGCUUUUACAAAACUAAAAAUAAUGGGUUCAGAUUUUCUUUGUUCUUCUAAUUGUCGUAUGCCGGCAUUCGAUCUGAAAACAAAAUAAUUAUUCACUUCGCGGCGUUGCGUUCAAUAAAUGGUCUUGAGCUCCCUAUCCACUUCCAUUCAGCUAUGUCACUUCCACGUUCUAACUAUGUAGCAGAUUAACUGAUUGAUUAUUAUUUUAUUCUGUUCUGCUUUGCUGUUCCUCCAUCGGCGAAUCGCUUCUGUAUGAACAUUCGCCUUUUGCUGUAAAUUUAUCGCCGUUUGUUUCUAUUUUCGUCCGCUUUCGUUUCGCUUCU